GCUAGGCAGGAGGAUGCCUGGCAGUAGGAUGCUUGAGCCCAGGAGUUCUAGUCUGUAGUGUGCUAUGCAAUCAGGUGUCUACACUAAGUUCAGUAUCAAUAUGGAGACCUCCACGUAGUGGGGUACCACCAGUUUGCCUAACAAGGGUAACUUGGCCCAGGUUGAAAACUGAGCAGGUGUGAACGCCCAUGCUGAUCAGUAGUGGAGUCCAGCCUGUGAACAGCCACUGCACUCCAGCCUGGGCAACAUAGCAAGACCCUAUCU
Molecule: signal recognition particle RNA, 264 nt
Filed under: Microcebus murinus (gray mouse lemur)
Lineage: Eukaryota; Metazoa; Chordata; Mammalia; Primates; Cheirogaleidae
Description: Metazoan signal recognition particle RNA (ENSMICG00000037933.2)
Rfam family: Metazoan signal recognition particle RNA
About the family: The signal recognition particle (SRP) is a universally conserved ribonucleoprotein. It is involved in the co-translational targeting of proteins to membranes.
Source: RNAcentral